This 433-nucleotide ribosomal RNA is filed under the name uncultured bacterium. RNAcentral's name for it is "partial 16S ribosomal RNA". It matches the Rfam family "Bacterial small subunit ribosomal RNA", at positions 29 to 507 of the family's 1533-position model. The record is from RNAcentral.
AACGAACGCUGGCGGCAUGCCUAACACAUGCAAGUCGAACGAUACAUUCGGGUAUUUGUGCGCACGGGUUCGUAACGGGUGGGAACCUGCCCUUAGGGUCGGAAUAACUUCCCGCAAGGGGUACUAAUAGCGGACAAUGGCUACGGACGAAAGAUUUAUUUCCAUUGGAGGUGUCCGCUUUGAAUUAGCUAUUUGGUAGGGUAAAGGUCUACCAAGGCGACGUUCCAUAGCUGGUAUGAGAGGAUGAUCAGCCACCCUGGGACUGUGACACGGCCGAGACUCCUACGGGAAGCAGCAGUGGGGAACGUUGGACAAUGGGCGAAAGCAUGAUGCAGCAAGGCCGCGUGAGUGAUGAAGGCCUUAGGGUUGUAAAGCUCUUUUAACCGGGCAGAUAAUGACAGUACCGAGAGAAUAAGCGCCGGCUAACUACGUG